GGUGACAGCGAAGGGGAGUAGCCCCCAAUCGGAUAUUCGACAUACUGGCCGCGCAGCGAUGCGGAAGCGGCCCGGUUAUCCGAACCGGUCACGGACCGGUGGGCGAGACCUUCGGCCGUAGA
RNAcentral lists this unclassified non-coding RNA (122 nucleotides) under Mycolicibacterium vulneris. RNAcentral's name for it is "yybP-ykoY". Lineage: Bacteria; Bacillati; Actinomycetota; Actinomycetes; Mycobacteriales; Mycobacteriaceae. The record is from RNAcentral.